CAGGACGAACGCUGGCGGCGUGCCUAAUACAUGCAAGUCGAGCGGACAGAUGGGAGCUUGCUCCCUGAUGUUAGCGGCGGACGGGUGAGUAACACGUGGGUAACCUGCCUGUAAGACUGGGAUAACUCCGGGAAACCGGGGCUAAUACCGGAUGCUUGUUUGAACCGCAUGGUUCAAACAUAAAAGGUGGCUUCGGCUACCACUUACAGAUGGACCCGCGGCGCAUUAGCUAGUUGGUGAGGUAACGGCUCACCAAGGCGACGAUGCGUAGCCGACCUGAGAGGGUGAUCGGCCACACUGGGACUGAGACACGGCCCAGACUCCUACGGGAGGCAGCAGUAGGGAAUCUUCCGCAAUGGACGAAAGUCUGACGGAGCAACGCCGCGUGAGUGAUGAAGGUUUUCGGAUCGUAAAGCUCUGUUGUUAGGGAAGAACAAGUGCCGUUCAAAUAGGGCGGCACCUUGACGGUACCUAACCAGAAAGCCACGGCUAACUACGUGCCAGCAGCCGCGGUAAUACGUAGGUGGCAAGCGUUGUCCGGAAUUAUUGGGCGUAAAGGGCUCGCAGGCGGUUUCUUAAGUCUGAUGUGAAAGCCCCCGGCUCAACCGGGGAGGGUCAUUGGAAACUGGGGAACUUGAGUGCAGAAGAGGAGAGUGGAAUUCCACGUGUAGCGGUGAAAUGCGUAGAGAUGUGGAGGAACACCAGUGGCGAAGGCGACUCUCUGGUCUGUAACUGACGCUGAGGAGCGAAAGCGUGGGGAGCGAACAGGAUUAGAUACCCUGGUAGUCCACGCCGUAAACGAUGAGUGCUAAGUGUUAGGGGGUUUCCGCCCCUUAGUGCUGCAGCUAACGCAUUAAGCACUCCGCCUGGGGAGUACGGUCGCAAGACUGAAACUCAAAGGAAUUGACGGGGGCCCGCACAAGCGGUGGAGCAUGUGGUUUAAUUCGAAGCAACGCGAAGAACCUUACCAGGUCUUGACAUCCUCUGACAAUCCUAGAGAUAGGACGUCCCCUUCGGGGGCAGAGUGACAGGUGGUGCAUGGUUGUCGUCAGCUCGUGUCGUGAGAUGUUGGGUUAAGUCCCGCAACGAGCGCAACCCUUGAUCUUAGUUGCCAGCAUUCAGUUGGGCACUCUAAGGUGACUGCCGGUGACAAACCGGAGGAAGGUGGGGAUGACGUCAAAUCAUCAUGCCCCUUAUGACCUGGGCUACACACGUGCUACAAUGGGCAGAACAAAGGGCAGCGAAACCGCGAG
Molecule: ribosomal RNA, 1253 nt
Filed under: Bacillus sp. (in: firmicutes)
Lineage: Bacteria; Bacillati; Bacillota; Bacilli; Caryophanales; Bacillaceae
Description: bacterial SSU rRNA
Rfam family: Bacterial small subunit ribosomal RNA
Source: RNAcentral